RNAcentral lists this ribosomal RNA (706 nucleotides) under uncultured bacterium. Its description in RNAcentral is "bacterial SSU rRNA". It matches the Rfam family "Bacterial small subunit ribosomal RNA", at positions 73 to 755 of the family's 1533-position model. The record is from RNAcentral.
UCCUGAUUCGUCAGGAGAGUAAAGUGGCGAAUGGGUGAGUAAGGUGAGGGUAAUCUACCCUUAAAUUAGGGAUAACUUUGCGAAAGCGAAGCUAAUACCUGAUAAGACUACUAUCUCUUAGGAGAAAGUAGGAAAAGAUGGCCUCUGUUUCAUGCUGUCGUUUAAGGAUGAGCCCUUAUACUAUUAGCUAGUUGGUGAGGUAAUGGCUCACCAAGGCAACGAUGGUUAGCUGGUCUGAGAGGAUGAUCAGCCACACUGGAACUGAGACACGGUCUAGACUCCUACGGGAGGCAGCAGUGAGGAAUAUUGCGCAGUGGGGGAAACCCUGACGCAGUGACGCCUCGUGAGUGAUGAAGGCUUUCGAGUCGUAAAGCUCUGUUAGGUGGAAAGAAAUAUUCCAGUGAUAAUACCAUUGGGAUUUGACGGUACCACCAGAGGAAGCACCGGCUAACUCCGUGCCAGCAGCCGCGGUAAUACGGAGGGUGCAAGCGUUGUUCGGAAUUAUUGGGCGUAAGGGGCGUGUAGGCGGUUAGGCAAGUCAGAUGUGAAAUCCCUUAGCUUAACUAAGGAAGUGCAUUUGAAACUGCUUAACUAGAGUACGGGAGGGGAAAGUGGAAUUCCCAGUGUAGAGGUGAAAUUCAUAGAUAUUGGGAGGAACACCGGUGGCGAAGGCGGCUUUCUGGCCCGAUACUGACGCUGAGACGCG